Panthera uncia (snow leopard) is the source of this 1277-nucleotide long non-coding RNA. RefSeq lists it as uncharacterized. The record is from RefSeq and is a predicted model, not a curated record. The transcript is spliced from 3 exons. Lineage: Eukaryota; Metazoa; Chordata; Mammalia; Carnivora; Felidae.
GAGUGGCUGGGGAGGGGGGCCGGAGGCCGGAGAGGAAGGGAGCCGCAGCUUCGCUCUGUGCGGGGAGUCGGAGCUCCAGUCUCCUGGCGGAGGGGUGCCUCCGCCGCUCACCGCCCCGCGGGCCAGCGCAGAGCGGGCCUUCGGGGGAUCGGGGAAGCCCUCUCUCCCUGGGGUAUUUCCCACACCAUCAGCCCUCGGCUCGAGGUUGAACUUGGCCCUGGUCUGCCGCCCGUUGAAAAUAGAAAAUUCAGGAAACCGAGGGCUAGAGGACGGACUGGGGAAGACGCACAGGUGGAGCGCAGGCCUCCCGGAUUCUAGCAGAUGCUGACGCAGCCUAACGCACGGUUCCAGUGGAAACGGAGGAACCAGACAAGAGUGCCCUUGGAAUUCCACAUCCCGAAGAAACGCCUCUAGGACUCCUCCCCACGGGUGUCCCAAGGCUCUUCAGAUGCAUCGCUUACAAAGCUGAAGUAUCAACCUUCCCCCAAACCUGCCCUUCCUUCAAGCUCCCCGUCCUAGGGGCUCGGUCCAAAACCCUGGUCUAGACCAGAAUCUUCCUGUCCCAUUGCUGCCCAGUCUACCAACACACCUUGGCACUGUGUGCCUUUCUCACCCCUCUUUGCUCCACUGCCCCCAGGCUGGCCACGCCAUUGUCCCUUUCUCCUGGACUCGUGAUGCCAACCACCAACAGAGUGACCAUCUCCACUCUGUCCUCCUCCUAUCUCUUCCCCCCAUUCAGCUACCAGAGUGGUCAUCUCAAAAUGGACAUCAGGGCCUGCUUUUCCCUUGCUUACAACCCCUAGUGGCUCUCUGACUCAACCCUGGUUAUGUUUGCCUGGAUUCGACGACAGCCGUCCAAUUUCCUUUGUGGAGCCCCUUGCUCCUGCCAGCCUCAGGCCAGUGAUUUCGGAGAUUUGGGGAUGUAACUGGUCAAUCACCACCAACUCCUCUUUUCCCACUGCACACCACCCCUCCACUGCCACAGGGAUUGGUUCAAGGAUGGGUACCAGCUGGGGGCCAAGACAAUGAGAGACCUCCAUGAGUGGCCCUGGGACAAGCAGGAAAGAGGCACUCUCUUUCACUAUGGUAGCUAAAUGGCCACCCUGCCACCAUGUGGGGACAGCAAGCUGGAGAAUGAGGUUAUUUCUUGAGAAAGCAGGACGAAUAAAUAGCCCAAUUGACAAUGUUAUAUGCCUUGACCCAGCUGUGCCUGAUGGCACAGCUAAACCCGUAUCUUUCAGUUACAGGAGCUAAUAAAUCCCCCUACUGUUGCUUAA